CCUGCAUCUACUUUAUUGUCCACUGAGGUUUGAACCCACAAGUUCUGGAUGGGUCAUGAGCCGUGGAGGAGAUGGCUUGAAUGAUGGUAUAUGAGUAAUCUAUUGCUAAUUACCACAAAAUUUAGAGUCUUAAAACAGGAGUGGUUAUUAUUUCGAACUUUCCGUGGGUCAAGAAUUCUGGUGCAGCGUAGCUGAAUGGUUCUGGCUCAGGGCCUCUAAAGAGGCUGUAGUAAAGAUGUUGGCUGGACUCUAAAGGCUUGACUGGGGAGUGGAUCUUCCAAGAUGGCUCACUCACAUGGCUGUUGGCCUGAGGCCUCAGUUCCUUGCCAUAUGGGCCUUUCUAUUAGUCAGCUUGAGUCUUUCCAUGACAUGGCAUUUGGCUUCCCCCAGAAUUUGUGAGGUAAGAGAAAGUGCCAGGAGGAAGCUGCAGUGCCUUUUAUGACCUAAUCUAGGAAGUCAGACACUGUCACUCCCACCACAUUCUAUUUGUUAGAAGUCAGCCACUAAGUCUGGCCCACACUCAAGGGAGGGCAAUCGGCUCUACCUUUCGAGUGGAGGACUAAAAAAGGAUUUGUGGACGUAUUUGAAAACCAUCACAGAUGAAUAGACAUCAUAUCCUUUUUUGCCGUGAUAAAUGUGGAAUAAUCAUCCUUAUAUGAAGAGGCUACUCACUUAUGCUGUAUUUAUCAGUUCAUGGGCUGAGCUCUGCUGCCUGUCGCCUCCUUCUCACUCAUUCCUGAGCCCAAGCUGACAAAGAUACCAAGCAGCUCCAACCCCAGCGUUCUAGAAGGGGCAGGUCCUUAAUGACAGGAAAAAGAAUACAGUCAAGAAAUAAAGAAUGAAGAGAGAAAAUAAAGAAAACUUUAGAAGUGCAUAGUAAGAAAAAAUGAAAAAUAAACGGAAAGAAAUGACUUUCCCGACUCAGAACCGUGACUGGCUCUAGCAAGGAAGAAAAACCAGGACGCAGGAAGCUAAGGGCUUCAAAUUAUAUCCUAACCUUUUGCAUAUUAAAAGACAAAAAGACAUGAAGUGAAUAUGCCAGAAUGUUAACACUGGUUGAAUGUGGGUGGCAGGUACAGAGGUAUUUUUCAUGUUAUUCUCUGUACUUUUCUGAAGGACUGAAAUAUUGCAAAAUGUAAAAUAAUGCCAAGGGGAAAUAAAAAGAAGAAAAAUGUAUCAUCUCACUGUAGGUUCCCCAAUUCCUCCCCUUCUCAGGCCCUGCUAAGAGAUGUGGAGCAUUUUCCUAGAGCUAAUAUAUUGGAGAUCCCUGAAAAACAGGUUUCCUUAAAAAAAAUCAAACAAAAUAAAAUAAAAAUGAAAGCUAAAACCUGCUUGAUUUCUUUCGCAUAUUGUCUGCUUCUUUUCACUUUUGAAAUCCUUAGUCUCCUGUUCAUUUUGCAUUUGUUUCUAUUGGUGCCUGUGAAUUAAGCAGACCAGCCCCAGGAUGCUGAGACACA
Molecule: long non-coding RNA, 1457 nt
Filed under: Equus caballus (horse)
Lineage: Eukaryota; Metazoa; Chordata; Mammalia; Perissodactyla; Equidae
Description: lncRNA (ENSECAG00000059398.1)
Source: RNAcentral